RNAcentral lists this ribosomal RNA (421 nucleotides) under uncultured bacterium. RNAcentral's name for it is "bacterial SSU rRNA". It matches the Rfam family "Bacterial small subunit ribosomal RNA", at positions 917 to 1338 of the family's 1533-position model. The record is from RNAcentral.
GGGCCCGCACAAGCGGUGGAGCAUGUGGUUUAAUUCGACGCAACGCGAAGAACCUUACCUACACUUGACAUCCUCGGAACUUUCUAGAGAUAGAUUGGUGCCUUCGGGAACCGAGUGACAGGUGCUGCAUGGCUGUCGUCAGCUCGUGUCGUGAGAUGUUGGGUUAAGUCCCGUAACGAGCGCAACCCUUAUCCUUAAUUGCCAGCGGUUAGGCCGGGAACUCUAAGGAGACUGCCGAUGACAAAUCGGAGGAAGGUGGGGACGACGUCAAGUCAUCAUGGCCCUUACGUGUAGGGCUACACACGUGCUACAAUGGCCGGUACAAACGGUUGCGAACCCGCGAGGGGAAGCUAAUCCGAGAAAGCCGGUCGUAGUCCGGAUCGGAGUCUGCAACUCGACUCCGUGAAGUCGGAAUUGCUAG